Long non-coding RNA from Capsicum annuum, 746 nucleotides. RefSeq lists it as uncharacterized. The record is from RefSeq and is a predicted model, not a curated record. NCBI's taxonomy places the organism in Eukaryota, Viridiplantae, Streptophyta, Magnoliopsida, Solanales, Solanaceae. The transcript has 2 exons.
UAAACAUAUACCAAAGAGAGAGAAAAAAACAAGAAAAAAUCAAGAGUAAUAAAGUUCUCUAGCUCUUAGUUUCUAAAGUUAAUAUUUUCCUUCAAAACAAAAAAGAGUGUGUGAAAAAUGUGAAAAAAAAUUUUUGUUCUUAAUUUUUCGGUAGCUGUCAAGUUUUCAGGGGACUCCCGAAAGGAAAACCUCACUUCUUCCUUAAGACAUGUGUGUGCUGAGAAGGGUGGGACAUCCACCAGUGAGCCACUGUUUUAGAGAGCAAAACAAUGUUGCAGACUGGUUGGCUAAACAAGGAACGAAAAGGAAAAACUUUGGACGCACUAACUUUUUGGCAGUUCCUUCGGUGUAUUCACAACAACAUGUCUGGACAGACAUUCUAUGAACUGAUUAUACUAGAAAAAUCAAUCCUUGUACUAAUUAUCAGGACCCUAAUACUCAUAUUUUUGUACCCGACUAGGAAGUCGACAGUCUGUACUAAACCUAUUUUGUUCUUAAUAUAUCCUUACUUACCAAAAAAAAAAAAAAAGAUUCGAUGAUUCAGAUUAGGACAUGUUGAGAUCAAAGUUUCAACCAACUUGGCGGUAAUGAAGAUUUUUCGUCAAAAAGAAAAAGGAAGUUCAAAUACUACAUGUGGAGCGAAUUCUCAAUCAUAUUUUCAACAACUUGUUGCUACAUAUUUUAAAAAUAAAGCUCACUUUUAAUGGACUCCAAUAUUUUUAAUCCAAAAGGGUUCAUAAACAACA